Elgaria multicarinata webbii is the source of this 134-nucleotide small nucleolar RNA. The record is from RefSeq and is a predicted model, not a curated record. Lineage: Eukaryota; Metazoa; Chordata; Lepidosauria; Squamata; Anguidae.
CCCCAAAGUGUUGAGUUCAGUCCAGGGCUGCUGCCCCUGUUCUGGUAAUUAAGCUUUGGGAGAAUAAGUAGUUGGGAGACAUCAUUGGUGGGAAAUUUUGCUUUUCUGCCAGUUCCUUCUCCCAGCCCACAACA